ACAUGUGACGGGGUUAAUGCUCAUGUUUACAUGGGCUUGGCAGUUUAAAUACCUUGAGAAUAAGUGGUGGGUAAGACUGGUGCCAGCAGCCGCGGUAACCCCAGCGCCACAAGUAGGGACCACAUUUAUUGGGCCUAAAGCGUCCGUAGCUGGCUGUGUAAAUCUCUUGUGAAAUUGUUAAACUUAAUUUAACAGAUGGCAGGAGACACUGCAUUGCUCGAGACUGGGAGGGGUAUGGAGUAUUCCAGGGGAACCGGUAAAAUGGGAUAAUCCUUGGAGGACUACCUGUGGCGAAGGCGCCAUACCAGAACAGAUCUGACAGUGAGGGACGAAGGCUAGGGGAGCGAACCGGAUUAGAUACCCGAGUAGUCCUAGCAGUAAACUCUGCGAGUUAGGUGUUACGUAACUUAUGUGGUUACGUAGUGUCGUAGUGAAGACGUUAAACUCGCCGCCUGGGAAGUAUGGUCGCAAGGCUGAAACUUAAAGGAAUUGGCGGGGGAGCACCACAAGGGGUGCGGCGUGCGGUUUAAUCCAACUCAACGCGGAGAAUCUCACCAGAGGCGACGGCAGUAUGAAGGUCACGUCUAAGGGCUUACCCAACGAGCCGAGAGGUGGUGCAUGGCCGUCGUCAGCUCGUGCCGUAAGGUGUCCAGUUAAGUCUGGUAACGAGCGAGACCCGUACUCACAAUUGCUAACGUGUUCUUUAGAAUUGAACGAGCACAAUGUGAGGACUGCUUGGAAACAAGGAGGAAGGUGCAGGCUACGAUAGGUCUGUAUGCCCCGAAUCUUCUGGGCUACACGCGCGCAACAAUGUAUGAGGAUGGAAACUCCGAAAGGAGAAGCUAACCUCUAACAUAUCUAGUCAGAUGAGGCUAACUCGCCGUCAGACGUCGAACCUAUCACGUCA
Molecule: ribosomal RNA, 907 nt
Filed under: uncultured euryarchaeote
Lineage: Archaea; Methanobacteriati; Methanobacteriota
Description: bacterial SSU rRNA
Rfam family: Archaeal small subunit ribosomal RNA
Source: RNAcentral